CAGGCCUAACACAUGCAAGUCGAACGAAGGCUUCGGCCUUAGUGGCGCACGGGUGCGUAACGCGUGGGAAUCUGCCCUUGGGUUCGGAAUAACAGCGAGAAAUUGCUGCUAAUACCGGAUGAUGACGUAAGUCCAAAGAUUUAUCGCCCAAGGAUGAGCCCGCGUAGGAUUAGCUAGUUGGUGAGGUAAAGGCUCACCAAGGCGACGAUCCUUAGCUGGGAUGAGAGGAUGAUCAGCCACACUGGGACUGAGACACGGCCCAGACGCCUACGGGAGGCAGCAGUGGGGAAGAUUGGACAAUGGGCGCAAGCCUGAUCCAGCCAUGCCGCGUGAGUGAUGAAGGCCUUAGGGUUUAAAGCGAUUUGAUACCGGGACGAGAAUGACGUGACCGGAGGAAGAAGCCCCGGCGAACUGAGUGCCAGCAGCCGCG
Molecule: ribosomal RNA, 430 nt
Filed under: uncultured bacterium
Lineage: Bacteria
Description: bacterial SSU rRNA
Rfam family: Bacterial small subunit ribosomal RNA
Source: RNAcentral